UACGUAGGGGGCAAGCGUUAUCCGGAUUUACUGGGUGUAAAGGGGGCGCAGACGGCGAUGCAAGCCAGGAGUGAAAGCCCGGGGCCCAACCCCGGGACUGCUCUUGGAGCUGCGUGGCUGGAGUGCAGGAGGGGCAGGCGGAAUUCCUGGUGUAGCGGUGAAAUGCGUAGAUAUCAGGAGGAACACCGGUGGCGAAGGCGGCCUGCUGGACUGCAACUGACGUUGAGGCCCGAAAGCGUGGGGAGCAAACAGG
RNAcentral lists this ribosomal RNA (253 nucleotides) under uncultured bacterium. RNAcentral describes it as "partial 16S ribosomal RNA". It matches the Rfam family "Bacterial small subunit ribosomal RNA", at positions 524 to 776 of the family's 1533-position model. The record is from RNAcentral.